GUUACAUCUAAUAUUCUGGAUAAGAUUCCAGUCAACCACGUAGAGCUCGUCAACCUCAGAAAAUGAUUUGAAAUAAGGUAAUAGUGACCCUGUGUUGAACGAUGCUUUUUUUGUUUGCAGCAAGGACAUAAGUAUAGUGCGGCAUGCGUCUGCUUUCCACCUGGGGUAUCUUUUGGCAGACUUGGUUAUCAGCAUUAGUGUUCCAGUGACCGGGCCUUUUACGGCCUGGAGUUUUACGGGAGUUUUACAUCACGCCAUGUCAAUUUGUGCAGAACAUUUGUCACUUGUAAGUUCCACAUCGUUACAUUAUCACAAGACCAACGUUGUUACACAUACAUGAACACGUGUGUCCGUGAAAAACUUCACCAGAUUAACAAAUAGUAUAAAACGUUAUAACAAGUCGUACAGCCAAUUUCCGAUUUCUCAUAGCUCGUUCUAUUUCACACUGCAGCUAUGUGUUGCUGUUGCAGCUCAGUUAUGAAUCAUAAUAAGAGGAGAAAUAUGAACGUUUGCCACCGUGAGGUGAGGCCACCGGUGCACCGCAUUCGUCACAUUGUAAGAGCGACACCUAGCUGCAGUGCGAAGUAGAGCCAUGAGGAAGGCGACAGAGAAAAGACGACCACGAAAAGAAAAGUGUUGGUUGUGUACAAAGGACUUUAUUUGUUAUCUAUGUACAGGUUUGUCUGAUUUCUCAUAAUCGUUUCUUCUAUAGGUUCACGGUUUGGACCCGUAUGUGGUAGUGUUUCAUCAGAGGAUGGAUCUAACAACGCCACUUGGCUGUUUACGGUAAGCCGCAUUUGCAAACCUGACCCAUUCAAGUCAGCAUCUGAAAUAGAAUUUGUAUACCUCAUGGACAGUAUAUAAACAGAAAAGUAUUGUAUCUGUAGUGACGUGCUUAUUAAUAUUGAGUACAUCUAAAGAAAGUUGCUAACUGCAUCAAAAUGUAACGGACGCAGGAAUUUUCAUAGAUUCUAUUUCAGGCAGGGAACUUAAGAAUUAUGUGAAAUUAGUUGUUUCUGAAACUAGAAAGGCAACAUUUUCAAGAAAAUGCAGGAUGUUUCCCUUCGAGUAAUUUGCCCUUUGUCAAGCUACGCACACUACUAUACCAUUACGCUCGCCACUGAAGCGUCGCCAAAAACAACAUAAGAAGAAAAGAAGAAAGAAAAACACACUAUCAAAAACAUUUUUUUUCUGUACUUGAAAUAUGAUUAUAGGAAAUCCAACCAUUUCGGGCAGAAAUACGUUACAGACUAACGAAGAAUCUUGAUUAUGUAUUCACGCAGACACCCAAACGCACUCCUGUGACCUCUCUCUCAUUUCAGGGUCAUACUACAGACGCUGGGUGUUUCCCGUGAUGCACCGGGGUACUUGCCGUUGUGGGUAGGGUCAUUGACCUUCUAUCUGUGCAUCCGGAUUCUUGUCCUCCCUUUCUACUGGUACAACUUUGUCUCGUUAAUUCUGCCACAGAUGGACGAGAUAAAAAGGUGUGGAUACCAGCUGUGCGUUGUGUUGUUCUUCUGCCAGCCAUGCGGACAUUUGCUGAAUUUGUACUCUUGGUCACGUCAGUUCAUGAGCUUGAAACGGUAUCUGAUGAACAGGAAGACGAACGUAAUCUAGUCUUUACGCCAAAUCGUGUUUCCGACUUUUCAUCUAUGUCUAUCUUGUGAAUAGAGUAGGAGGUUCUGCGGAAGUUGCGGAGAGUGUACCUUUGGGCCUUCGUAGUUUCAUGUGUUGAUCGAAGCAAAAUUCGGUUUCAAACACAGCUAUGCCGUGGCGUCAGUAGACAUAAGUUAGAUACAACACGUGGUAACAGAAUUGAUGAAAUAGGUAAAGGAUGAGGGAUAGAAAUAGAAACAUUAACGUUAUAGAUCUAUCUGAUGUGUUUAUGUUAUAUACAUAUAUAUAUACA
Molecule: long non-coding RNA, 1909 nt
Organism: Branchiostoma floridae (Florida lancelet)
Lineage: Eukaryota; Metazoa; Chordata; Leptocardii; Amphioxiformes; Branchiostomatidae
Exons: 3
Source: RefSeq, a predicted model, not a curated record